Molecule: long non-coding RNA, 1701 nt
Filed under: Homo sapiens (human)
Lineage: Eukaryota; Metazoa; Chordata; Mammalia; Primates; Hominidae
Description: long non-coding RNA NONHSAT157583.1
Source: RNAcentral
CGCCUUUCAAGACGUGCUGAUGAUGAUCGGUUUCCCAGACGGGGUGAUGACUCAAGACCUGGUCCUUGGAGACCAUUAGUCAAGCCAGGUGGAUGGAGAGAGAAAGAAAAAGCCAGAGAGGAGAGCUGGGGUCCACCUCGAGAAUCAAGGCCAUCAGAAGAACGUGAAUGGGACAGAGAAAAAGAAAGGGACAGAGAUAAUCAAGAUCGGGAGGAGAAUGACAAGGACCCUGAGAGAGAAAGGGACAGAGAGAGAGAUGUGGAUCGAGAGGAUCGCUUCAGAAGACCUAGGGAUGAAGGUGGCUGGAGAAGAGGACCAGCUGAGGAAUCUUCAAGCUGGAGAGACUCAAGUCGCCGGGACGAUAGGGAUAGGGAUGACCGUCGCCGUGAGAGGGAUGACCGGCGUGAUCUAAGAGAAAGACGAGAUCUAAGAGACGACAGGGACCGAAGAGGACCUCCACUCAGAUCAGAACGUGAAGAAGUAAGUUCUUGGAGACGUGCUGAUGACAGGAAAGAUGACCGGGUGGAAGAGCGGGACCCUCCUCGUCGAGUUCCUCCCCCAGCUCUUUCAAGAGACCGAGAAAGAGACCGAGACCGAGAAAGAGAAGGUGAAAAAGAGAAGGCCUCAUGGAGAGCUGAGAAAGAUAGGGAAUCUCUCCGUCGUACUAAAAAUGAGACUGAUGAAGAUGGAUGGACCACAGUACGACGUUAAGUCUCAAGAUAAUGGAUUUAAACUGGUGUCUUAAAUAGGUUUGAUCACAUUCAAGGAUUAUUAUACUUGUGCUUCAACCAAUCUAAAUUGGAUUCUUUAAUGUUGUUUCACCAUAACACAAAAAGCAUGAACUUGUAUUAAUCCUAUAUAAUAGAUUGAUCAUGCACCAUAUCCACAGGAGGUUGGAAAAACCAUGCCAUUUUCUGGAAUUUAAGGGUGUUGCAUUAUUUCAUCAAUCAUUUGUUGACAAAAAAGAAAAACUAAAAAAUAAAUUUAAAAUGUGACCCUUCAGGUAUUGAGUAACACCUUUAUCUUGGUAUAGAACUGAUACUUUUUUUUUGAUUUUGAAAUAUCUGAUAAUAAUUUGGAAUGAAGUAAGGUUCUGUUAAAAUAUAUUUGAAGACCCUUUAAAGCAGUGAAUCUGAAACAAUUUUCACACCCUUAAGUGGUUGAUACGUACCUAUUUUAGGUAUUUUGAGGUAUUUACCAUAAACUAAAUUUAGAAAUUUUUUAGAUUCACUUGAAGUAAACAUUACAAACAUUGGAUACGGUGGGGUUUUCUUUAGAUUUUACUUGAGAGAAGGUGAGUACAAAGCAAUUUGCAGUUGUUGUAAUGACAAGAUUACUGCGCAAGUGUGAAUCCAAACAGUAUAGCUUUUAAAUUUUAAAGCAUUUGGUAAAUUAUCGCUGAGUUUUUUUCUGUUGCCAAUAGCAAACUGCUUUUCCAUUAAUGGAGAAUUCAUGCCUUUCAAGCAUUUUAAAUAUGACAAUAUUUAUAAAUGUAUGGUUUGGAGGAAUCGUUUAAAUUCUCUUUCCUAAUUUUCUUUCUUUUGAAGAUAGAUUCUUUCAACAAGUAAUUUGUAGUAAUGACUGUGUUGACUUCAAUUUUGGAGCGCAGUAGCUAUGUUAAAGAUGAACUAUUUGGUCUCAUUGAAGCCAACACAGAACUUGCUGCUGUGUUUUUUCUUCAGUGAUAAAUAAAAUACUUAC